Molecule: ribosomal RNA, 487 nt
Filed under: Cladosporium sp. UASWS0888
Lineage: Eukaryota; Fungi; Ascomycota; Dothideomycetes; Cladosporiales; Cladosporiaceae
Description: eukaryotic LSU rRNA
Rfam family: 5.8S ribosomal RNA (bases 123-276)
Source: RNAcentral
AACCCUUUGUUGUCCGACUCUGUUGCCUCCGGGGCGACCCUGCCUUCGGGCGGGGGCUCCGGGUGGACACUUCAAACUCUUGCGUAACUUUGCAGUCUGAGUAAACUUAAUUAAUAAAUUAAAACUUUUAACAACGGAUCUCUUGGUUCUGGCAUCGAUGAAGAACGCAGCGAAAUGCGAUAAGUAAUGUGAAUUGCAGAAUUCAGUGAAUCAUCGAAUCUUUGAACGCACAUUGCGCCCCCUGGUAUUCCGGGGGGCAUGCCUGUUCGAGCGUCAUUUCACCACUCAAGCCUCGCUUGGUAUUGGGCAACGCGGUCCGCCGCGUGCCUCAAAUCGACCGGCUGGGUCUUCUGUCCCCUAAGCGUUGUGGAAACUAUUCGCUAAAGGGUGUUCGGGAGGCUACGCCGUAAAACAACCCAAUUUCUAAGGUUGACCUCGGAUCAGGUAGGGAUACCCGCUGAACUUAAGCAUAUCAAUAAGCGGAGGA